Long non-coding RNA from Panicum virgatum (switchgrass), 1863 nucleotides. RefSeq lists it as uncharacterized. The record is from RefSeq and is a predicted model, not a curated record. The transcript is spliced from 2 exons. Lineage: Eukaryota; Viridiplantae; Streptophyta; Magnoliopsida; Poales; Poaceae.
CAAACUGGUUGCAUGCAUGUUCAGCAUUAGCACUCUAAUAAAUUUCAAUAGGGAUUUUAAUACUAUCCAACUAGCAUUUAAAAUGUUCACACGAACCAAUUUAGAAAAGUUUCUGCUUUUUGCUGAUUAGUACAUAAGCAUUGCAUGCAACUUAUGCUAAACUAGCAUUUUUAUAAAACUUAUAAGCAUUUAUAGGUAGGAAUUAAGCAACAAUAUUAUUACAGAUGGGCAAUAAUAUAGUUCCCAAUAAGCAUUUUCCCUAUAUGUAACAACAAAAAUAUCAACAUUAGGUAAACAUUUAGGCAAUUUAUAUGUAGGAAUUAGGGAAUAAUAUAAUUACAGAUGGGCAAUGAUAUGGUUCCAUAAGCAUCCCCCCGGUUCAUUGUUUGUGUCUGGUUUGCUGGUUAGUUGUACAGCUAGGCAUGAACAAGCUCACACAAGGCUUGAAUUGGUGGAUUUGCUGGCUAUUAAUACUGAUUCAAUUCCUUGUAUUGCUGUUAGCUAUCCUAAUUAAUUUAGGUGAUUUUGCUGGUUAUUAAUAGUGAUUCAAUUUUUUGUUUUGUUGGUUAUCUAUCUUCAUCAAUUUAGGCAAUUUUCUGGUUAUUCAUACUGAUUCAAUUCCUUGUUUUGGUGUCAUAGCAGACUCACACAAAUCUGAUGAUGGUGCUGGUCCAUACUGUUUUGGUGCUAGAGAAUAAGGCCUGAAGAUUUAUAUUGUAUGAAUUUUAGGAGGCAUUUAAAUUCUAUUUAGAUAUUAUUUUAAAUAUUCCUUGCUUAUUUCUCUAUGCAUUUUUGGAGCAGUGUGACUUGGUUGACCUACAAAUCUCACACUCAUUCCUCUUUGCCUGGGCAUUCAUCCCCUUAGAUAUCACAUUUUCCCUUUUUUGCCAUUUGACUAUCGAUCGUGGUAGGUUGUGUAUGUUUGAUGAUGUAGUUGCACGACCAGUGCAAUUAGGUUAGUUGGGUUAUCAAAAAUUAUAGUUGAGAUAUCACCAAUAUGACAUGCCUACAGGUGCAUCUGAUUAGUUAUUGAACUUUAUAAGGCUGUUAGAGAGUAAUACUAGCUAUGAGAGUAGGCAAUUAAAUGUACUUCAUUAGGUAAUAAUGUUGUUCUAGAUUAGCAAAUUAUGUAAUUAUUUGCGGCAAUAAUAUGAUUCUUGAUUGGGUAAUAAUAUGAUCAGAAAUUUUAAGCAAUGUUAUGUUUCCGAAUUAGCAAAAAAUAUGAUAAUGUGGGUCAUAUAGAACUAGCAAUGUUUGUUACUAGAGGUAUUUAGCCUUUGAUGAUAUUUACUCCUAAUACUAACUGCAUUUACUAUUCUUUCACUAAUCUGUGUUUUCUUUCCUCAUUUCAGUCACACAAAAAUGGUGUUUGGAACUUGAAACCUGAUUUUCCUUUUCUUUUUGUCUGCAAGAUUCCUCAACAAAUCGGCACUAUAACCCGCCAUGUAGCUGUAAGGCUCCCAUCAUUGUAUUUUUUUUGGGUGCCAAGGUCUACAACAUUUCAUUAUACAUAUGGGGAAGGAGGGCAAUGAGGUGUAUCAACCCAUCAGUUCGGAAACUUCAACACAUGUUGUUUAGUUUGUCCAUCAAAAGCAACUUUUCAGCAUUACAACAGAUCUGUCCUGAGGCAAUGUGUGUUUGUGUUAAUAGGAUUUUGUAGUUCUUUCUUGUGAGAUGCAUGCGUAUCACAACAGAGUCAUGAAAGUUUAAUAUUUGCCUGUGAUGUAGUUUUUUAGCCAAGGAAUGAGGGAGAGGCAAAUCUAUGUGUAAAUAGACUCCUGUAAACUAAAUUGAUAUGCUUAUGACAUUUGGCAGUUCUUUAUAAUAUGUAUGUAUUCUGAAUAAAAUUAUAUAUUCUAUCCA